GUACUACUCCCUCCGUCCGAAAAUACUUGUCAUCAAAAUGGACAAAAAGGGAUGUAUUUAUAACUAAGAUACAUCUAGAUACAUCCCCUUUUAUUCAUUUUGAUGACAAGUAUUUUCGGACGGAGGGAGUACUUA
Molecule: non-coding RNA, 135 nt
Organism: Triticum aestivum (bread wheat)
Lineage: Eukaryota; Viridiplantae; Streptophyta; Magnoliopsida; Poales; Poaceae
Source: Rfam